This 69-nucleotide transfer RNA is filed under the name Anolis sminthus. RNAcentral's name for it is "tRNA-Trp". The record is from RNAcentral. Lineage: Eukaryota; Metazoa; Chordata; Lepidosauria; Squamata; Anolidae.
AAAAACUUAGGUUAACCAAACCAAGGGCCUUCAAAGUCCUAAAUAGGGGCCCCCUGCCCUUAGUUUUUG